This 500-nucleotide ribosomal RNA is filed under the name uncultured bacterium. Its description in RNAcentral is "partial 16S ribosomal RNA". It matches the Rfam family "Bacterial small subunit ribosomal RNA", at positions 30 to 523 of the family's 1533-position model. The record is from RNAcentral.
AUUGAACGCUGGCGGAAUGCUUUACACAUGCAAGUCGAACGGCAGCACGGACUUCGGUCUGGUGGCGAGUGGCGAACGGGUGAGUAAUGUAUCGGAACGUGCCCAGUCGUGGGGGAUAACGUAGUGAAAAUUACGCUAAUACCGCAUACGAUCUAUGGAUGAAAGCGGGGGAUCGCAAGACCUCGCGCGAUUGGAGCGGCCGAUAUCAGAUUAGGUAGUUGGUGGGGGAAAGGCCCACCAAGCCAACGAUCUGUAGCUGGUCUGAGAGGACGACCAGCCACACUGGAACUGAGCCACGGUCCAGACUCAUACGGGAGGCAGCAGUGGGGAAUUUUGGACAAUGGGCGAAAGCCUGAUCCAGCCAUUCCGCGUGCAGGAUGAAGGCCCUCGGGUUGUAAACUGCUUUUGUACAGAACGAAAAGGUUUCUACUAAUACUAGGAGCUCAUGACGGUACUGUAAGAAUAAGCACCGGCUAACUACGUGCCAGCCGCCGCAGUAA